Molecule: long non-coding RNA, 616 nt
Filed under: Zonotrichia albicollis (white-throated sparrow)
Lineage: Eukaryota; Metazoa; Chordata; Aves; Passeriformes; Passerellidae
Description: lncRNA (ENSZALG00000008425.1)
Source: RNAcentral
UUGGGGUCUGGGAUGCAGCUGAGGAUCUGCAGUGCCGCACAAAACAAACCCUCGCUGAGAUGUUCAGCUGCUCAGUGUGUGCCUCUGCAACCUGCAGCGUGAACAGGGAACAGAACACUUUAUCCAGGGAGCUUCUGGAGCUGUUAACAACGCUGCAGGGAGUUCAUCAAAGGCUGAGAUGGAGCUGUAACAUCCUGCCUGGAAAUGGGAGCCUUUCCACCAGAGUGCUGACGGACCACCAGACUCACUCUGCCAAAGAGAAAAGUUAAUCUGCAAUAACUGGGGCUCAGGUUUGAGGCCAGAGCACUUCUGCUCACCAGCAAUGACCGCCUCUACAGAAGCUGUCAGCAGAGGUCCCUAUGGUCUGCUGAAACCUGGAGCUCCCCUUUUCCUCCCAGGAUAUGAGGAUGGACAUAAACGCAUGACUGUGAAACUACACACUGCUUUUACCUUGUACCUUGGCAGUGUCAUCAAGUCCUUCACUGGCUUCCAGGCGAUGACCAAAGGCCCAUCCCUUCCACAGGCACCAACAAAGGCUGUGCAUUGUGGUCACUGAGGGUGGACAGAGCCACUCCCCAGCCCUGGGGCAGCCGCUGCUGCUCACCCUCCCCCAGGC